UAGAUAGAGGCUCGCUGGCUUGAGCUUUUAAUUGUUAAUUAAAAAUUUUGUAGGAUCGAGGCCUUCCUAUCUAG
RNAcentral lists this transfer RNA (74 nucleotides) under Neofundulus sp. Paraguay. RNAcentral describes it as "tRNA-Asn". Lineage: Eukaryota; Metazoa; Chordata; Actinopteri; Cyprinodontiformes; Rivulidae. The record is from RNAcentral.